This 286-nucleotide long non-coding RNA is filed under the name Mytilus galloprovincialis (Mediterranean mussel). Lineage: Eukaryota; Metazoa; Mollusca; Bivalvia; Mytilida; Mytilidae. The record is from RNAcentral.
AUAAAACUUUGGUUCAAAAGAUGUUUUUUUCACUCCAUAGAAAACAAUAUAAAUGUGUAACAACUUUACUCAAAAUGAUAAUUAUUAACUAACAGACGAAUCCAUCACUGGAGAUAAUUACAUGUUUUAAACUGGGUAGAAUUUUUAAAAUUGUUUCACCCCUUAUAAAGUUUCAUCUGCACUAAAGCAAAUCAAUUAGUGGUGAACCAUAUGGCUGGCAUGCAAUGUGGUAUACACAAAAAAAAUGAAAAUCUGUAAAUCUUUUAUUAUUAAUUUAAUAUUUCAG